UUUUCACUUCUCUCCCGUGAAUUUGGCGUCUGAAGAGCCAAUUUCAGUUUUUGUAUAUCGAAGGCAAGCUAUCAAUACUUUCAUGUCCUUCGUUUUUCCUUAUUCUCAAGCCAUGCGAAGCAAAUCCUAGGGUUUUAGGCUUUUUCAACUCCUUGGUCUUUAAAUUUCUUAUUCGUUGUGAUGUUUCGAAUUUUAUUUUUGCAGUCACAUUGAAGGUCAUAUGAUUUUCAGGACCCGAAUUCAUUGAAACUGGUAUGCAUAAUUUUUUAUUUUUUUUAUAUAUUUGUGCAAUUUUAGCAAUAUUGAGCAUUUUAUUGCCUUGAUUUUUAUUUUUGUUUGGAAAGUGAAGGAUAAAUAUAUACUCAGAUACUGAAUUUCCCACAAAUAUUUCGAGGUUAUGGGUUUAUUUGAGAUAAUGUUUGACUAGAUGGGCAACUAAUAGGAUUAAGGUUUGAAGAUUUUCGAACUGGCCAGCUCUUAACAAGUUUUCAUCUUCAAGCAGUGGUUCAUUGUAAAAGUUUUUCGACAACACUAAAAUGCUGAGGUUCUUGAAUCCUAUUAGGAAGGAAGCCAAUUUGAAAUUUGCAAGUUUAUUUAUUUCAUUGAUUGUAUAUGAUCUUAUUGGAACAUGAUUGGAUUCUACUGUCCAUGAGUUAUUAGUCCCUCUAAUUGCAAGCAGUUUUCCUGGGUUAUUAAUUAUUACUUGCACAAGGGAAGUACUUAUUCUACCAAAAAAAAAAAAAAGGAGUAUAGUACUAGAACUGAUCUAUCAUAGUAAAUAAUGCAAAUAUAUUUGCUGGGGGCCGGUUUCAUGAGAACGGUUGCUUUCAUCUUCAUCACAAGAUCCUCAUUUGUUAAAUUCUUUGUUGUAUUUAGGUUAACUAUUAGAAUUUUUUUAAUGAAUAUACGUUGAUGAAGUGAACAUUCUAGUUAACUAAUGGCACUAAACCAAAUGUGUUUUAAAUAAUCUAACUUAAGAAUAUUCAUUCCAGUAGCUUUUUUUGGUUGACAUAGUUCGUUGUUUUAACUUAAAAUUACUAACGACAUAUUCUCUUUUGUAUGAUUUAUGUGAAUAAAGUGAAAUACAUGAUAUACAUAUUCUCUUUUGUAAGAUCUUGUAAAUUAUGUCUAUCUAGUACUUGUAGCUUAUCAUCUUGUUUUUUCUUGAUCUAACCCAGAGGCUUCUCCUCUUAUGAUUGAAAAGAAAUGAUUCUUGUCUUGUCUGUCUAGUACUAUUUGUCAAUUAAUGUUUGGUUUUAAUAUUUGUAGCUUUCUUUAAUCAGACUGACAUCCUCAACAGCCAGAGGCAAAGCCAAGAUCGAACUACAAGCUGAGCUAACAUGUAAAAAUAUAUAUAAAUUUACACAAAAAAAAAAAAAAAAUUUUGCCCUAAAAAACAUUAAGUGGGCUGGAGAGGGGACUGGGCUACAGCCCAAUCCAAUCCCCCCUUAGAUCCGCCUCUGUCGAUCGCUG
RNAcentral lists this long non-coding RNA (1473 nucleotides) under Olea europaea (common olive). RNAcentral's name for it is "long non-coding RNA (OEUR_LNC002747)". Lineage: Eukaryota; Viridiplantae; Streptophyta; Magnoliopsida; Lamiales; Oleaceae. The record is from RNAcentral.